CCAUUAACUCCGGUUGAUCCUGCCGGACCCCACUGCUAUCGGGAUAGGACUAAGACAUGCUAGUC
This 65-nucleotide ribosomal RNA is filed under the name miscellaneous Crenarchaeota group-1 archaeon SG8-32-3. RNAcentral's name for it is "partial 16S ribosomal RNA". Lineage: Archaea; Thermoproteati; Candidatus Bathyarchaeota. The record is from RNAcentral.